GUUGACCUCGGAUCAGGUAGGAAUACCCGCUGAACUUAAGCAUAUCAAUAAGCGGAGGAAAAGAAACCAACAGGGAUUGCCCUAGUAACGGCGAGUGAAGCGGCAACAGCUCAAAUUUGAAAUCUGGCCUCGGCCCGAGUUGUAAUUUGCAGAGGAUGCUUUUGGCGAGGCGCCUAGCGAGUUUCCCUGGAACGGGACGCCACAGAGGGUGAGAGCCCCGUAUGGUAGGACGCCUAGCCUGUGUAUAGCUCCUUCGACGAGUCGAGUAGUUUGGGAAUGCUGCUCAAAAUGGGAGGUAAAUCUCUUCUAAAGCUAAAUACCGGCCAGAGACCGAUAGCGCACAAGUAGAGUGAUCGAAAGAUGAAAAGCACCUUGAAAAGGGGGUUAAAAAGCACGUGAAAUUGUUGAAAGGGAAGCGCUUGUGACCAGACUUGCGCCGGGCGGCUCAACCGGGGUUCUCCCCGGGGCACUCCGCCCGGCUCAGGCCAGCAUCAGUUCUGGCCGGGGGACAAGAGAUCGGGGAACGUAGCUCCCUCCGGGGAGUGUUAUAGCCCCUUUCACGAUACCCUGGCCGGGACUGAGGACCGCGCUCCGGCAUGGAUGCUGGCGUAAUGGUCACCAGCGACCCGUCUUGAAACACGGACCAAGGAGUCGUCCAUUAGAGCGAGCGUUUGGGUGCAAAACCCGCACGCGUAAUGAAAGUGAACGCAGGUGAGAGCUUCGGCGCAUCAUCGACCGAUCCUGAUGUUCUCGGAUGGAUUUGAGUAAGAGUUUUACUGGACGGACCCGAAAGACAGUGAACUAUGCUUGUAUAGGGUGAAGCCAGAGGAAACUCUGGUGGAGGCUCGCAGCGGUUCUGACGUGCAAAUCGAUCGUCAAAUAUGAGCAUGGGGGCGAAAGACUAAUCGA
RNAcentral lists this ribosomal RNA (909 nucleotides) under Sydowiella stellatifolii. Its description in RNAcentral is "eukaryotic LSU rRNA". It matches the Rfam family "Eukaryotic large subunit ribosomal RNA", at positions 1 to 938 of the family's 3401-position model. Lineage: Eukaryota; Fungi; Ascomycota; Sordariomycetes; Diaporthales; Sydowiellaceae. The record is from RNAcentral.